GGAGUUAGCCGGUGCUUCUUCUGUGAGUGAUGUCCUUCCUGCCGGCUAUUAACCCGCAGGCCUUCUUCCUCACUGAAAGUGCUUUACAACCCGAAGGCCUUCUUCACACACGCGGCAUGGCUGGAUCAGGGUUGCCCCCAUUGUCCAAUAUUCCCCACUGCUGCCUCCCGUAGGAGUCUGGGCCGUGUCUCAGUCCCAGUGUGGCUGAUCAUCCUCUCAGACCAGCUACGGAUCGUCGACUUGGUGAGCCGUUACCUCACCAACCAGCUAAUCCGACAUAGGCUCAUCCGAUAGCGCGAGGACCGAAGGUCCCCCGNUUUCCCCCGUAGGGCGUAUGCGGUAUUAGCCUGGGUUUCCCCAGGUUAUCCCCCACUACCGGGCAGAUUCCUAUGCAUUAACUCACCCGUCCGCCGCUCGCCACCAGGGAGCAAGCUCCCCGUGCUGCCGCUCGACUUGCAUGUGUAGCUGCCGCCAGCGUCAUCUGAGCCAGAAUACAACUACUGA
This 504-nucleotide ribosomal RNA is filed under the name uncultured bacterium. Its description in RNAcentral is "partial 16S ribosomal RNA". The record is from RNAcentral.